RNAcentral lists this ribosomal RNA (481 nucleotides) under uncultured bacterium. RNAcentral's name for it is "partial 16S ribosomal RNA". It matches the Rfam family "Bacterial small subunit ribosomal RNA", at positions 28 to 507 of the family's 1533-position model. The record is from RNAcentral.
GAUGAACGCUGGCGGCGUGCUUAACACAUGCAAGUCGAACGAAGCACUUUAUUUGAUUUCCUUCGGGACUGAUUAUUUUGUGACUGAGUGGCGGACGGGUGAGUAACGCGUGGGUAACCUGCCUUGUACAGGGGGAUAACAGUUGGAAACGGCUGCUAAUACCGCAUAAGCGCACAGCAUCGCAUGAUGCAGUGUGAAAAACUCCGGUGGUAUAAGAUGGACCCGCGUUGGAUUAGCUAGUUGGUGAGGUAACGGCCCACCAAGGCGACGAUCCAUAGCCGAACGGAGAGGGUGACAGGCCACAUUGGGACUGAGACACGGCCCAAACUCCUACGGGAGGCAGCAGUGGGGAAUAUUGCACAAUGGGCGAAAGCCUGAUGCAGCGACGCCGCGUGAGCGAAGAAGUAUUUCGGUAUGUAAAGCUCUAUCAGCAGGGAAGAUAAUGACGGUACCUGACUAAGAAGCACCGGCUAAAUACGUG